Molecule: long non-coding RNA, 335 nt
Filed under: Homo sapiens (human)
Lineage: Eukaryota; Metazoa; Chordata; Mammalia; Primates; Hominidae
Description: non-protein coding LINC01162:9
Source: RNAcentral
ACGACAAAGAAAAGAAAGAACAAUGGUGGUGCCCAAAAGUGCCAUGACCAUAUGUAGCUUAUUUGCUGCACAAAUUGUGCCUAAUGCAUGCCCAAUGCUAUUAAAAAGUUCGUCAUUCGAAACACAGUAGAGGCCACAGCUGUCAGGGACAUUUCUAAAGUGAGUAUCUUCAACAGCGAAGUGCUUCCCAAGCUGUAUGGGAAGUUACGUUGCGCUGUGAGUUGUGCCAUUCACAGCAAGGUAGUCAGGAAUCGAUCUUGUGAAGCCUGCAAGGACCGAACACCUUCACCCAGUUUAGACCUGCGGGUGCUGCCCCAUGACCCCCGCCAAAGCCC